UAUCAGAUGACUGAAGUGUAAGUUCAGGUCUUUUAACCCUGCUAUAGUAGAAACAACUACUUCUGAUAA
This 69-nucleotide transfer RNA is filed under the name Lebbeus groenlandicus. Its description in RNAcentral is "tRNA-Lys". Lineage: Eukaryota; Metazoa; Arthropoda; Malacostraca; Decapoda; Hippolytidae. The record is from RNAcentral.